GGAGAUGGUUUUAUUUAUUAAAUUAAAAAAUUGUAUUAUAGGUCGUGAAAAGUCAAACGAGUCAAAAUUUAAAACACCAAAGGUUAAUAAAAAAGUAACAUAGACUUAAUGAGAAUUGAGAGAACAGACACAAUAUAAUUAGGGAGAGUAAAGAGAAGGCAAAAGUGUGUUGCAGUAAACACGAUCCCAACACUUUUUCUAUUUUAGUCUUACGAUACUUGGAAAAAGAAAAACUUACACCUCGUUCAAUACUAUUAAGAAUUAGAAUUAGACAAUUGGAGAAGGCUGGUCUCGAGACCAAGUAUAUUAUUCAUGCACCCUCGCCCAAACGACAGCGUUUCACUCUAUGAAACGUAAAUAAGAGCUUACGUGACGUGACGUUACCAAGCAAUGUGUUGUCAAAUCAGGUAUAAAUACCUGUUUUAAAAUAUAAAAAAAAAAACCCAAUAUUCAAUUUACUACACCGCCAUAACAUUUUCUCUCUCUAACCACAACUUUCUCAUCACUAUAAUUCCUCUAAAACCUCCAUAAACAUUCUCCAAAAGCUUAGAAAUCACAAAAUUCAUACGUAAUCAUGGAUAUUAGAGAAGAAAUUUGAUGGCGAUAACACAGUUUCUGGAAAUUAGCGUAAAAAAUCAAGAGGAGCACGAAUUUCGUCUUCAAUGCCUCAAUCAAAGACCAAAAAUGACAAGAUUAAAAG
Long non-coding RNA from Chenopodium quinoa (quinoa), 700 nucleotides. RefSeq lists it as uncharacterized. The record is from RefSeq and is a predicted model, not a curated record. The transcript is spliced from 2 exons. NCBI's taxonomy places the organism in Eukaryota, Viridiplantae, Streptophyta, Magnoliopsida, Caryophyllales, Amaranthaceae.